UGCAGUGGGUGGGCUGAGGGUUGAGGUGUGGAGUAACAGUCCCUCACGUGGCCGCCUCCCUCCCUCAGGGCAGCCCCUCCAAGGACUCCCCCCCUGGCUAGCUCUGUGGAAGGGUCUGCUGUCCCCUUCUAUAAAGUGAGCGGCCUCCCUUUGCCCCUUAGAGCCAGCAGUAUCAGGGACAAUGUCCCCCAGGCCUACUGCACCCCCAGCACUGUUGUUUCUGGGAUUUAGGGCUCUUAGGGGACUCUUCCAGGGAUCCAGAGAUGUGUGUGCCAAGGCUCUGCCCUUGUAUUUCAGAAGCUCCACCAUGGGGUAAGAUGCGCUCCCUGCACACACUGAACCCUCAACCUGAGUUCCCCCGCCUGCCACAGAUUGUCCCAGGGCUGGGCAUCUGCUGAUCCCAAAGCAAAAUCUUCGCCUUGAAGCCUGUUUUGCUGCUCCAGUGUGAAGUCCAAGUUAUCUCACUUUUGGGCAGAGAAAUAAGACCUCCCUUCUUUGUGGCUGAAAGAUCUCAGGCACCUAUCAGCCUGUUCUAAUACUGGGUGGAUUUCUAGCUGUUUGGUAGGUAAACAUGAUGACCUUGUGCAGAGUGGAGGGGCCUGGGUUUGAACCCCAUGUUUGGCUGGGACCUUGGAUAACCUCUCUGAAUCUGCUUGCCUAUCUGUAAAAUGGGUAUAAUGAUAAGAACUACCUCCUAGGGUUAUUGGGAUGAUGAAAGGAUAUAAUCCAUGCACAGUACACAGGACCUGGCAGAGGCCCAGUGAAUGGUUACUGUCAUUAGUAACUGAUCAUGGGAGAUGAGACAGGAGAAAGAUAAACCUCAGUGUGAGUUCCAGCCCAGAGGGAAGGUGAACUGAAGCCCAGCGCUACUUCCACCCUCCCCGCUAAUGCUGGCCAGGAGGAUGGAGGAGCUAGGGGGAAGGAUGGUAUUCAAGAUAAAGGGGCCGCCUAGCACAAUGGGAAGUGCCAAAUUAGGGGUGAAGAUGCCAUCUCUGAGGUGCAUAGAAGAGCAGGUGGAGGUGAGAAGGGAAGGAGUGGGAGUGAGGCAAAGGUCAGCUCAUCCCCCACAGGCUGCCAAAGGGGGAGUCAGGGUUCAAAGGUCCAGUUCUAGAGGGGUAGGGUUGCCAUGAACACAGUCUCCCCAUCUAUGGGGAUCGAAAAUGGGAUCUCACCACCAGAAUGGGGUAGAAUGUUUCUGGGUGACCUGCUCUUUUCUUUUCAUUGUGCUGUGAGCUUCUGAGGUCCCCAGGGGAGCCAAAGCAAACUGGGAAAGGGAUGGGUCUUCACAGCCUGCUCUGGAGCCCUCCCAGAGACACGUGGCUCUCUCUGGAGCAUGAGUGUGCAGCCAGCUUUGGGGUGAAAUCUAGCUCUUCCCCUCCCGGAGGAACCUGGCUACCCCCAGGGAUUUAGCACAGGGACUUUUCUGCGUACCGCACUGCUGCUCUAGCACUCUGAGUGAAAGGACAGGGCAAAGCUUAGAAAAAAAUCCCCUUCUCAGUCAGGUCAGCGCGCAGCUGAACAUCCCAAAUCCUGAAGGUCGGGGAGGGCAGGAAGGCAAGCGCAACCCUCCAACCACGGUGCUCAAGUUCUGCAUCACAAACUGAGACCAGGGAAAUCAGCCGUGGAAGGCAGACAGGAAGAUUUACCACGUCAGCAACUACGAGAAAUUCUGGGCCCAGCGUCCCUCUCCUCAGUUCUGGGCAUUGAGGGUUUGGGGGACAGCUCAGGGACAUAUGGCACAGAUUGCCCUUUGUAGAAUUGGGACUCUUCCGGACCCUUCUGGCCGCAAGGACUCCUCCUUGCAAAGAUACUCCGCUGCCCCCAAUCCCCACCCCUAGCCGAAGAAGAGAUGGCAGGGUGACUCGGGGUGAGCUGGAAAACUUGCUUUUGUUCAGCUUUUGUGGCUGAAAACCUGCUUUGGCAAAAAGUGCUGGCCCCUUGUCUGAUCUAGAAAGUCCUAGGAACACAGGAAGGGAGAGGAGCCUCCAGCUUUAGGGGGUGGGGGUGCUCUGAGAGUGGGGAGGGGGAGGAGAGGGUGACGGGUGCUGAGCUCACGAGGCUGCUGCACGUUUUCACAAGGCUGCUUGCAGCCUUCUCAUGCGCUUAGCUAUUGUUUCCCUCUAUAACUGGAGAUACUUGGCCAGGAAAAGUCUCUGCUGAGGGAUUCUGUCCUUUUAAGAGGCCGCCGCACCCCAUACCCUGCUUUUGUCCUCUGCAUGGUCUCAGAAACAACUUUUGAUGUUCCUUGCCAUUUUAAAUCCCCAAGCUGGAAGUGCUGAGAGCUUAUAGCUCCUCCUCUAGAUCUUUUGACUCCCAGCCCCCGCCUAAAAGGAUUUGGGGGCAGUUUUUAUGCAUUUGGUCUGCACAGUAAGGGCCAAAGACGAGAGGGUUAAUUAAGAUGCCUCUGAAGGAUGAGUGUUGGGUUCAGCUCCGGUCUGGAGGCUUUUCAGAUAUCACCCACUUCAGCCUGCAGCCCCAGUGGUAGAGGGGUGUGGGGAGCAGGGUACGCAUACGCCCUGCCUUUGCAGACACUGCGUGGAGGCCUUCAGGCAACAGGGCCAGCCGGCGGAAGGCGCUUGCCCAGACUGAGAAUAGAGUGUGUCCUGUUUCAGGGGGAGGGGAAGAGGGCCAAUGGUCCAUGGCAAAUAUUUGGGAGCUGCUUUGCCAAGGGCUUGCACCCUAGCCAAGAGCGUAUUGAUGGGCAAACAGUGGCGCUGGCCUCAAGUGGUUAAUUGGGAAGGCAGAGGAGCGAGGAAACUCACUGUUCUCUCGCUCUGCCCCACUUUUUAAAACAUUGCCCGCAUCCCCACCAGCAGGGCUAAGGUCGCAGGGCUUGUUAACCCAGUAGAGUGCUUUCUGCAGGACUGCAGGGACUCAGGGGCCCACAAGGAAUCCAGCUGCUGAGAGAAGAGCCGGGAGUUCUCAUAGUGAAGUCCUGAAAAGCCAAAAACUGGCCAUCUGGGUGAACAGCCCCUGAUUAAACAAAGGCUCUGAAAGGAAAGUUGGGAUUCAAAGUUUGCACUGCUAAUCCCUUUGGCGCAUGAAGAAGGCAGCAUGCCCCACGGUCUGGAGUUUCUUUAACAGGUACAGAAGCAAGCUUAGGGAGAAGCAGCCUCGUGCCCGAGGUCAUGGAGGCUGGAAGCAGGUGUGGUUGGGCCAAGAGGGUCCUCUGGAUUUGUGGCUCCAGAACUGGGUCCGGUCUGUGGCUGUCAUGGCCGUUGGGCUUUCACUUCGCGCAGGAGCAUGUUUGCUGCUGCAUGCAGGGGAAGCUGACCUCGGAAGAGCAAGCCGAGCCCACGCCCGUGGUUAUGUCUGCUCUUGAAGCCAAGCUGGCAGCUGGACGUUUGCCCUGAGCAGAAGAUGAAGGCAAAGGAAUAACGUUUUAGGCAUUUGCGGUAAUUUUCAAAUUAAAGGUUAAUUUUCCUUAAUAUUAACUAGCACAUUUGUUACAUAAAUAUGAGAAAAACCAAGCAGAAAAAAAACAUAAAAAGUGCAAACACUCAGAAGUCUAAACCAAGAUGACAGCCGCGGUCGCCCUCCAAACCCUUCUCUCCUGGCUCUGUGUGCGCAGAUCGGAUCUGGCUACAGGUGUUGCUUAUUAG
Chinchilla lanigera (long-tailed chinchilla) is the source of this 3602-nucleotide long non-coding RNA. RefSeq lists it as uncharacterized. The record is from RefSeq and is a predicted model, not a curated record. The transcript has 3 exons. NCBI's taxonomy places the organism in Eukaryota, Metazoa, Chordata, Mammalia, Rodentia, Chinchillidae.